ACUCUAAAAAUGGCUGGGUUAUUUUUUAACCCAAAAUGCUGGGUUGAGUCUGUUGGGUUGUUUUGCUGGGUUAUUUUUUUACAUUUUAAACACUUUUUGGGUAGUUUCAGUUUUCUAGGUGUUGGGUUAAAACUGCUGGGUUAUUAUGUUGGGUUGUUUGAAGAGGCUCACGUGCUUCGCGCCCUUGAUGUUUGAAUGUGCUCAGCAAUGGUCGUCGUGAAAGGACAGAGUCACUGAAGCAGUUGUUUCAAGAGUGUGCAGAGUUUUAACGUCCAUCCAUUGAUGAGGCUAGCAAGACCUUCAAACAACUUCAGCCAAUUGCAACAAAUGUGGUGGAAUUUCUUCUCUGGACAGAAUCCUCGAAACCCUUUCCUUUCGUCCUGGCCAUGGGAAACAUGCAGCAGACCUCUCAAUCUUUUUUCUCAAUCAGUCUCUCUGAAUACGGAAGUGACUUAAACUGCAAUUCGGCCAAGAUGGCGACGACACGCACCGCCUACUUUAAGCUUCAAAAAUGCUCUUCACAAACCAAUGGGUGACGUCACAGACACUACUUGCAUAUUUUUUACAGUCUCUGGUUUAAAGGCAUUUUAAGUGCUUAAAAAAAUAAAUACCCCAGGCAAUGUGCUUCUAUGGGAAUUCCUGUAGUCUGUCAUUUUUCAAAUGGAUGAAUCCCCUGCUGUUCGAUUCCUUUGUACAUCUUUGUUCGCGACGAGUAACUUUAAUAAAUGAAGUAUUUUUAGUCAAAUACAUUCCAUUCUGUGAAACUUAAAACAUUUGUUCUUUAAAAAAACUUUACA
Molecule: non-coding RNA, 797 nt
Organism: Misgurnus anguillicaudatus (oriental weatherfish)
Lineage: Eukaryota; Metazoa; Chordata; Actinopteri; Cypriniformes; Cobitidae
Source: RefSeq, a predicted model, not a curated record